Molecule: non-coding RNA, 899 nt
Organism: Lepisosteus oculatus (spotted gar)
Lineage: Eukaryota; Metazoa; Chordata; Actinopteri; Semionotiformes; Lepisosteidae
Source: RefSeq, a predicted model, not a curated record
UCUUUUGAAACUUUCAGCUCUUAACCCGCAGUUGGCACACGCCUACAAACCCCUUUUCUCUGUCGUUCGGUUAAUUGGGGAAUCGAGUAUGUUGGCAGCUGGUUGUUAACGGGCGUUUUCGUUUUGCGAAGCUCUGCACCAGCUGACAGAGGAAAAAACUUUAAUCAAGUCGGCAGAACUAAAAACAAAACCCACAACAGCGCGCGUUGCUUUACGGCUGUGGCCUGCUCGGGGUUGGCGGCAAUUUCGUUGACCUGAAUCCGACGGAGACUCGAGUUGGUUGUAGCGUGUGAAGACGAAACGGGAGACACUCCUCUGAGCUGGUGUUUCUUCCAGGGUGAAGGAGGAACCUGGAAGAAGGUGAGCGGGCAGGAGCCCCAGAUCCUGUAAUGGCGCCUCGCUGGUAAACACGACAGCACGGCGUUGUUCUUUGGGUCCGGAUUCGUUUUCACUGGACUGGCUAGAAAUAAAAAAGAAGAGCUCCUGAUAACCUGAAGGCAAAGAAUAAAGCAGCUGUCACUGAGAGUUGCGACGUUGACCCGAGGGCUGUCUGUGAUAUCAUUUCAUAACCCUGCUGCACCUUUCACCCACAGAUGGGUUACACUCUUGAAAGCUCCUGAAAUGGAAGAUGGCUUGCAGAGCGUUGGAGAACAGUGAGACUUCCCUCCCUCCAGCUGACCAGCGCUGAAGAUGCCACGCUGGGGAAUGAGGCAGUACAAACCUGGCACCAAGACCUCCAGCCUCCAGCAGCCUUCACACAAGGUAGCAGGAAGAAACCUGUCCCAGAGAUAGAAAUAUCUUGUCCCAGAGAUAGUCCCAGGGUCUUGACAGUGUGGAACACGUCCACGAUGUUCUGCUGCUGGAUCAUCUCGCUGAUACUGCAGAUGGCACAGAAAGUC